RNAcentral lists this ribosomal RNA (119 nucleotides) under Gossypium raimondii (Peruvian cotton). Lineage: Eukaryota; Viridiplantae; Streptophyta; Magnoliopsida; Malvales; Malvaceae. The record is from RNAcentral.
CAGUGCGAUCAUACAAGCACUAAUGCACCGGAUCCCAUCAGAACUCCGCAGUGAAGUGUGCCUGGGCGAGAGUAGUAUUAGGCUAGGUAACCUCCUGGGAAGUCCUCGUGUUACACCCC